UACGGAGGAUGCGAGCGUUAUCCGGAUUUAUUGGGUUUAAAGGGUGCGUAGGUGGGCUGUUAAGUCCGCGGUGAAAGUUUGUCGCUUAACGAUAAAAUUGCCGUUGAAACUGGUAGUCUUGAGUAUAGAUGAAGUAGGCGGAAUGCGUGGUGUAGCGGUGAAAUGCAUAGAGAUCACGCAGAACUCCAAUUGCGAAGGCAGCUUACUAAGGCAUAACUGACACUGAAGCACGAAAGCGUGGGUAUCAAACAGG
This 253-nucleotide ribosomal RNA is filed under the name uncultured bacterium. Its description in RNAcentral is "partial 16S ribosomal RNA". It matches the Rfam family "Bacterial small subunit ribosomal RNA", at positions 524 to 776 of the family's 1533-position model. The record is from RNAcentral.